RNAcentral lists this ribosomal RNA (337 nucleotides) under Philoscia muscorum. RNAcentral's name for it is "partial 16S ribosomal RNA". It matches the Rfam family "Bacterial large subunit ribosomal RNA", at positions 1947 to 2558 of the family's 2925-position model. Lineage: Eukaryota; Metazoa; Arthropoda; Malacostraca; Isopoda; Philosciidae. The record is from RNAcentral.
UGUGCUAAGGUAGCAUAAUCAUUUGUUAUUUAAUUGAUAACUAGAAUGAAUGGUGAAACGAAUAGUAAAUUUUUCUUGUUUAAAUAGAAAUUGAUAUAAGAAUAAAAAAGUUCUUUAAACCUAGAAAGACGAUAAGACCCUAAAAUCUUUACUAAAUUAGUUUUGCUGGGGCGGCAAAUAGCCAGACACUAUAAAAUUUUACACUUUGAGUGAGUCUGACUAACCUGAUGAAAAUAAAAAGAUACUUUAGGGAUAACAGAAUAAUUCCUAUUGAGAGCCCGCAUCAACAUGGGAGUUUAUUACCUCGAUGUUGAAUUGAUUAAUCUCUAUAGAGCAG